AGUUUUUGCUGUUUCUUAUC
RNAcentral lists this microRNA (20 nucleotides) under Bos taurus (domestic cattle). Its description in RNAcentral is "bta-miR-2365". Lineage: Eukaryota; Metazoa; Chordata; Mammalia; Artiodactyla; Bovidae. The record is from miRBase by way of RNAcentral.